GACAUUCGAAUUUUUUACUCCAACUCUUUGACUUAGUUACUAUUUGUAAGUCUUGUCACCAUUAGUCCUGAAAUAUUUGACUCUUGGUGUGUACGCCUAAGUGGACUAAGUCUUGCCUCCUAACCACACCACAACGUGAUAUUAAAUUAAGAACUAAUAGUAUAUAUAUAUCUAAUGUUGAUUCUGCUUUUUCUUGUUUACUUUGGAUACAUAAUCUAGAAGAAAAGGGAAACUAAUUCAUAUUCACAACAGUAUAUAUAUCUAAUGUUGAUUCUGCUUUUUUUUUGUUUACUUUGGAUACAUAAUCUGGAAGAAAAAGGGAAAAUUUAGGUGACAGGGUGGGGAGGAGGAUACAGUCACAGAAAGUAUUAAAUUAUAUAUCAGACCUCUCUCUUCUGACUCUUCAUCGUUCGCCACCUGGUGCAUGCGGGUUUCGGCGGUGGUGCGCUCCGCGUCACUGUCAGAAUAAUAUCUUGUGGUGUUUGUUUUGUUUGCUAUAUAUCUUAAUCCUUCGGCGAUUGAUUUUUCUUUCCGGCAUCGGUGGUCUCUUAGCAUCAAUGGUUGGGAUAAGACUCUGGCGAAUUCUCUUUUCCUUUAGAGGUUCGGUUAGUUUUUGACUCUGGCGUCAGUUCCUUCUUCUCCGGUGAUGACGGUCAGCUAUUGUCUCUGACUUAUAACUUUUUUCUUCAGGGGUUAGUCGGUUUUCCUGGGUGUUUCUUCUCGUUUUGAGGGACACUUCCGUUUCCUUGUGACUGGUGGAUGGUGAUGUGGAUGAGAUCUUGAUUUAGGUCGAUUGACGCUCUCCUGUGGAUAAAGCAUUCGUUAUGUGUAAAGGUUCUAUCUCUUUGUGGUUGGUGUUUGGUGAUUCAGAUGAGAUCUUGAAUUGGUUUGAUGAAGCUCACCGAUGGUUGGAGUGAAGGCAAUGAAAAUCUAUGUCUUAAAGAUGCUGGAUUCUUUGAUCGUGAUUUAUGUUCCCGGUGGAGUCCGGUGGUGUCGAUUAGCUUUUCCGGAAUGUUGAAAGCGGUCGAUUAGUUUUUCCGGCAUGUUGAAAGCGGUGGGCCAAAUUCUGAAGACUAAAAACAUUUAACCGAACCCACUAAUCAAAGGUUGGUAAAGCUAUCAAGGACCGAUUUAGGUCCGUGUCGACCCAGAGACGGAUUUGACCUAAGUAAGAUAAAACAUUGGUAUAGGACCCCUAUUUCAUGGAGCCCCCAAUUUUAAAAAACUUUUAUAUAUAGAAAAAUGUAUACUUAAUAAUAACAAUAAAAUGUUAAUGAUAUUAAACAAAAAUUAUAUUAUGAGAUAAACUUGAUGAUAUUGAUUUUAAAAAUAGUUUAGAUUAAACAUUUACAAAUAAAAAAUACAAGAAAUUUUGAUUUUUACUAUAAAACUAAAUAAAUUUUUUAUUUUUGUAUAG
Molecule: long non-coding RNA, 1417 nt
Filed under: Brassica napus (rape)
Lineage: Eukaryota; Viridiplantae; Streptophyta; Magnoliopsida; Brassicales; Brassicaceae
Description: long non-coding RNA (BNAP_LNC013518)
Source: RNAcentral